AUUUGAAUUGGUGAACUUAGUAAAGCAGACGGCUCUCACCAAUAAGGGCAGGCAUCAUCCAAUCUGUCGAAAGCUUGAAUAAAACAAAAAGAGGAAGGGAAAAUUUGCUUCUUCUCUUCUUCAUCUAGUAUAUCAUCUUCUCCUGCCCUUGGAUAUGAGUGGGCCUUCAGACUUAAACCAGGAGUUACAUCUUUGGCUUCCCUGGUUCUCAGUUCUUUGGACUUGGACUGAAUUACACUGCCAGCUUUCCUGGUUCUCCAGCUUGCAGAUGGCAGAUCAUGGGACUUCUUGGCCUCCAUAAUUGUGUGAGUCAAUUUCCAUUUUAUUUACAUAUCCAGUCAUGCAUUGCUUAACAAUGGAGACAGGUUCUGAGAAAUGCAUUGUUAAGUGAUUUCCUCAUUGUGCAAACAUCAUAGAGUGUAAUUACACAAACCUAGACAACAUAGACUACUACACAUCUAGGCUACAUGGUGUAGCCUGUAACAUCAUGAUAAGUAUGUAUAACAUCAUGAUAAGUAUGUAUGUAUCUACCAUAUCUAAAUGUAGAAAAGGUACAGUAAAAAUAUGGUAUAAUCUUAUGGGAUCACCAUCAUAUAUGCAGUCCUUUGUAGACUGAAAUGUCAUUGUGUAGUGCAUGACUGCAUAUGCACACAUACACACACAUACACACAAACAUACUAUUGGUUCUUUUUGUCUGAUGAGCCCUAAUACAAUAUGUUAUACAUUUAUAUUGACUCUAUUUCAAAAUUUAUGGUUUUGGUGAAACAUAUGUGGAGAUGGGGCAUAGGUAUGUGAACUGAGAUAGUGUCCUGCUGAUGAAUGGGUGGGAGGCAUCAUUUGGGACAAACGCAGGACAUCAGCCUAUAGAUAUCAAGAGCUCAACAAGAGCAUUUUAUGGCAAAACCCCCCACAAGACCUCUCAGAAGUUGUGAAAAAUGUUUCUGCUAAAAGUUUCUUUAUGACAGAUGACAUUUAUGGAUAAAAUAGGGAUUAGCAGGAUUCUUUAAACACUUUCGAACACUGACCUUCAUUUCUACCAGGCAGUGGGGCCCCAAGUGCAGGACCAUAGGAAGUACAAGCCUGGGAGAUAUUAGGCUGCACUGUCUGUAGAGAAUCUGAAAAAAUAAUAGAGUCACUGAAAUGCUGUUUGGUAUAAUUAUUGCCAUGCAUCAUAAUUCUAAAUCAUACUAGUGGUCAAAUACUCUUCCCUGAAAAAACGUUUUCUUGGUUUGAAUUCUAAAUAAUUGUUGUGGUCACCACUGAGCUUUUAAAUAUAUAAAUAGUUUCAAGUUUGCAUAUUUUUAUUACCUGUUCCUUAACAAACAUUGAAUCCAACAUGAAAAUGAUUAUGGGAAACAUCCGGGCAUACAGUCCCUGACUCUUAAGGACUCAGGUAAAUACUUAGGGUUAUUUCAUGGCCCUAGUCUUUGGGGUACCACACAUUUCUUCUUCAAAUCACAGAUUCAAAAUCAAGAAUGAUAACACAGUGAUUGUGUAGACAAAAUAACUGAACCAAAAUUGCUUGCUUCUGUCAUUCUAUGGGACCACUUAGAGUUUUUACUUGUGCUUAAAAUUUUGAAUAGUAAAACAGUGUGAACUUCAUGCUGGAAUAUUUUUGGCUUUUUAGACACAAUUUUAAGUACAUGAAAUAUUUUUACAAGACUAAGUAACAUCACUGAAAUUACAGCUUUCUUCUUUUUAAAACUGGUAUUUGUUUUAAAACUAAAGAGCGAAUCAAGAAAAGCAUAAUUAUUACUGAUUAUUACAGGAUUAUUACUGAAAAAGAAAUGUAUGGAAUAGAGGAGGAAGGAGUUAACAAAUGAUCCACUCUGGGGGUUGAAAACACCAAUAAGCCACUGCUUCCAGGAAGUGCCUAAGACAGAGCUGGCUCGGCUUGCUGGGUCACAGCAUGUAAGGAAACUGUGGGCUACAUGCCACGUCCUCAGUUGUCCAGAUAGAUAAUCCCAUAGCCCCAUGGGGAAAUAAUCUUUAAUUAUGAUAUAGCUGACACCAUUCAAAGCACUAUGCUAAGUCCUUUAUGUGAAUUAACUUUUGUCAAAUUUAUUUUUCACAAAUAACCCAAAUACGCAUACCACUAUUAUCCUACUUUACAGAGGAGAAACUGAGCUCCUAAAGUUUAAAUAUCUAACCUAAGUUAAGACUGCUAGUCACCCUAGGCUAUUAACUCAGUGUGUCUAACUCAGGUAUAAUAACAUUAUGCUACUGUCUGCAGCUUUGACUAUGCCUGAAUUAUAGCAUCAUGCUGUCUAACUAAAAAGCUAAGGGAAUUAAAAUGAGCCAUAGGGCUCAAUUUCAUAAAAGGAGAGAAAAUACUGGGGUAAAGUGAUAAUGCAGAGUUUAAAAUAUUUUUGUAAAAGUGCCAGAGAUUGAGUAUAACAAGUGUGACCAAAAAAAAAAA
RNAcentral lists this small RNA (2419 nucleotides) under Pongo abelii (Sumatran orangutan). RNAcentral describes it as "retained intron". The record is from RNAcentral. Lineage: Eukaryota; Metazoa; Chordata; Mammalia; Primates; Hominidae.